GAGUUCAUGCCCUCGCGGGUAGAUCUCCCACCCUUGAAUACAUUACCUUUGUUGCUUUGGCGGGCCGCCUCGGCUGCUGGCUCCGGCUAGUGAGUGCCCGUCAGAGGACCUAAACCCUGAAUUAUAGUGUCGUCUGAGUACUAUAUAAUAGUUAAAACUUUCAACAACGGAUCUCUUGGUUCU
This 183-nucleotide unclassified non-coding RNA is filed under the name rhizosphere metagenome. Its description in RNAcentral is "partial ribosomal RNA internal transcribed spacer region". The record is from RNAcentral.